UACGGGGGGGGCGAGCGUUGUUCGGAAUCACUGGGCGUAAAGGGCGCGUAGGCGGCCCGCACAAGUCUGCGGUGAAAACCCCCGGCUUAACCGGGGGCCGGCCGUGGAAACUGUCGGGCUGGAGGCUGGGAGAGGGCAGCGGAAUUCCCGGUGUAGCGGUGAAAUGCGUAGAGAUCGGGAGGAACACCGGCGGCGAAGGCGGUUCUCUGGGCAUGAUCUGACGCUGAGGAGCGAAAGUGUGGGGAGCGAACAGG
This 254-nucleotide ribosomal RNA is filed under the name uncultured bacterium. RNAcentral describes it as "partial 16S ribosomal RNA". It matches the Rfam family "Bacterial small subunit ribosomal RNA", at positions 524 to 776 of the family's 1533-position model. The record is from RNAcentral.